UCUCGCCACAUCCGCUGAACUUGACGCAGGUGUGUAGUUCGGUUGUUAUUGUCGCAGUUUGCACGUGUUAUUUUCGUCUUUUUGGGGUUUGACAUCCAUGGAUGAAGAGACCAAAAAUACCGUCGUCAACGGCCCCGCGGAGCCGGAGGAGUCUGGCACGGCCGUUAGAGACGAGCUGCUAGCGGCUUUUAAAAUCUCUUUGGACAUCUCACAGGAUUCUGAAUCGCCAGAAUCUGCAUCCUCAGAGAAGACACAGAGCUGGGAGAAGCCGGAGCAGAGAGACGGACCACAGGACGGAGAGAGAGAGGGAGAGGGAGAGAGAGAUGGACAAGUAACCAGACAACAAGAAGGACAGAAGAAUGGAGAGAGAGCUGGACAACAGGACGGAGAGAGAGACGGAGAGACGGUCCCUCCACCCUCAGCUGAGUGGGCGGUGGGUGCUCAGUGUCGGGCGGUGUGGUCGGAGGACGGGCGGCUGUAUCCGGCGACGGUGCUGUGUCUGGACGGAGAACGCUGCAGAGUCCGUUUCAACGGCUACGGAAACCAGCAGGACAUGGACCUGAGCGCGCUCAAACGCCCUGACGCUGCGCCUCCAACACAUAGACAAAACUCUCAGGACUGGAAACCCGGCGCUCGCUGUCGGGCCGUGUACGUGGAGGACGGUCUGGUUUACCCGGCUGUGGUUCUGUGGGUCAAAGGUCAGCGCUGCGGCGUUCGCUUCAACGACUACAACAACGAGGAGGAAGUGGACGUCGACAGCCUGAUGAACCCCGACGAGCUCCGCGGACCCAGCAGAGCCAAGGUGAAAGACAAAGCCAGUAAUCGGAGGAAAGUGGAGAAAGAAGACGAGAAGAAGAGAGGAAACCAGCAGAGAGACGAAGCAGAGAAACCGGCCAAUCACAGCUUCUCUUUCUUCCCUCCGUUUCCUCCUCCUCCAUCUCCUCGAUUGGCCUCUGGGGAUGCUGUGGCCUUCAUCCCUCCUCCUCCUCCUCCUCCUCUGUGGGUGUUUGGUGGGAAAGAGUCGAGCUCUGCGGCCGUGGACGCCUCCUCCAGCAUGUUGAUGCUGUGGUACAUGUGUGGCUUCCACACCGGCAGCUACAUGGCUCAGCAGGGCUUCCAGUCCAGCUCCAAAGACUGAGGUAAGACCUGAACCCACCUGUCAGGAUACCUCCCCCCCCCUGCUCACAAUGGAACUGUCUUAGUGAACAAGAAACCUCCGUCGUCUUCUAUGUUUUAUUUUUGUUGCUUCACAGACCGAGAGAAUAAUGGGACGAGAUGCAGCCGGGAAGAUUCUCCUUUUGUUUCCUUCCAAAGAGCACUUGGACAUUUAAUUUGUAUAUUUUCAGACAUGAUGUUAUGAGUUGUAAGUUGAAUCUUUUCCUGCUGGAGUCUGUCGAUGGUAAAGCACGUAGAGAGCGUUUUGUUUUCAGACACACAGAGAGACGUUUGAAUCUUUCUGUUUGAAUCUUUCUGUUUGAAUCUUUCUGUUUGAAUCUUUCUGUUUGAAUCUUUCUGUUUGAAUCUUUCUGUUUGAAUCUUUCUGUUUGAAUCUUUCUGUUUGAAUCUGUUGUUCCUUUGGUCAGUCGGUGAAUCGCUGACGAGUUAGACAAUGAAAUGAAAAAGUAUUUUUGUUAUUAAAAACAAAGGUGAAUAUCUGCA
RNA transcript from Perca fluviatilis (European perch), 1659 nucleotides. It is a transcript of the gene named survival motor neuron protein-like, with no coding region annotated. NCBI's taxonomy places the organism in Eukaryota, Metazoa, Chordata, Actinopteri, Perciformes, Percidae. The record is from RefSeq and is a predicted model, not a curated record. The transcript is spliced from 9 exons.